GAUGAACGCUGGCGGCGUGCCUAAUACAUGCAAGUCGAGCGAACGGACGAGAAGCUUGCUUCUCUGAUGUUAGCGGCGGACGGGUGAGUAACACGUGGAUAACCUACCUAUAAGACUGGGAUAACUUCGGGAAACCGGAGCUAAUACCGGAUAAUAUUUUGAACCGCAUGGUUCAAAAGUGAAAGACGGUCUUGCUGUCACUUAUAGAUGGAUCCGCGCUGCAUUAGCUAGUUGGUAAGGUAACGGCUUACCAAGGCAACGAUGCAUAGCCGACCUGAGAGGGGGAUCGGCGACACUGGAACGGAGACAGGGUCCAGACUCCUAAGGGAGGGAGCAGUAGGGAAUCUGACGCAAUGGGCGAAAGCAUGACGGAGCAACGCCGCGUGAGUGAUGAAGGUGUUCGGAGCGUAAAACUCGGUUAUUAGGGAAGAACAGAUGUGUAAGUAACUGUGCACAGCUUGACGGUACCUAAUCAGAAAGCCACGGCUAACUACGUG
RNAcentral lists this ribosomal RNA (497 nucleotides) under uncultured bacterium. RNAcentral describes it as "partial 16S ribosomal RNA". It matches the Rfam family "Bacterial small subunit ribosomal RNA", at positions 28 to 507 of the family's 1533-position model. The record is from RNAcentral.